Molecule: ribosomal RNA, 306 nt
Filed under: Triticum aestivum (bread wheat)
Lineage: Eukaryota; Viridiplantae; Streptophyta; Magnoliopsida; Poales; Poaceae
Description: partial small subunit ribosomal RNA
Source: RNAcentral
AUGGUCAUCUCCUUCAUCCCCAACGAAGAACUCGAGCCAAGCCGCACCGUACGCUCGGGAUCGAGCCGGUUUUUCCGCCACGGCCGCGGCAUCUCGCCGUCGAUCUCCACCACCGGUGCCUCCCGGCCUCGCCGAGCUCGUCCACGGCCUCCCCAGGACCUCGAGACCACUGCUGAUGCCCCUAUGAUCGACUACGACGACGACGACCCCUCCUUCUUGUCUGAGCAACCAGAUGGUGGAUCCUCGGAGCCAGAUGCCACCGCUGAUGGAUGCUACUUCGUGAAGAUCGCCGACGACCAAGAGUAG